RNAcentral lists this transfer RNA (69 nucleotides) under Quasipaa boulengeri (spiny-bellied frog). RNAcentral describes it as "tRNA-Glu". It matches the Rfam family "tRNA". From Rfam's summary of the family: Transfer RNA (tRNA) molecules are approximately 80 nucleotides in length. Their secondary structure includes four short double-helical elements and three loops (D, anti-codon, and T loops). Further hydrogen bonds mediate the characteristic L-shaped molecular structure. tRNAs have two regions of fundamental functional importance: the anti-codon, which is responsible for specific mRNA codon recognition, and the 3' end, to which the tRNAs corresponding amino acid is attached (by aminoacyl-tRNA synthetases). tRNAs cope with the degeneracy of the genetic code in two manners: having more than one tRNA (with a specific anti-codon) for a particular amino acid; and 'wobble' base-pairing, i.e. permitting non-standard base-pairing at the 3rd anti-codon position. The record is from RNAcentral. Lineage: Eukaryota; Metazoa; Chordata; Amphibia; Anura; Dicroglossidae.
GUUCUUAUAGUUAAAUUAUAACAGUAGUUUUUCAGACUACCGGUCUAGGUUAGAAUCUUAGUAGGAAUA